This is a long non-coding RNA of Rhinopithecus roxellana (golden snub-nosed monkey), 484 nucleotides long. RefSeq lists it as uncharacterized. The record is from RefSeq and is a predicted model, not a curated record. Lineage: Eukaryota; Metazoa; Chordata; Mammalia; Primates; Cercopithecidae. The transcript is spliced from 4 exons.
GCCACUAGAACAUGUAAAAUGGCAGCUAAGGUCUGUGCAAUCCCUUCAUGUUUAGAAACUGGCUAAAGCUUGAGUUCUCUUAUCUUUUGGUUAAGGGCACCACUUUCAGAUAAAAACAUAGACCUGAAUGGCAUCAUCCAGUAUCCAAGGAAACCAUGCUUGCUUGAAGAGUGAGCAAGUGAGCAAAGAGACAAGAUUACAUGUUUAAACCGAGAAAAGAAUCUUGAAAAACAAAUUGGAAGAAUGUGAAAUGUUAUUAGACACAGGCACAGCAUAGCAGUAGAAACAUCUUAACUAAGAACCUGGAACUGAAAGAGAAAGCAACCAACUUAAAGGGCAGACAGGACACAUGGUUAUAAUACAGCAGUAGGUAUUCACAGUGAUGACACAAGACAAAAUAAUUACAUUUUCAUUCUAAAACCAAUUUUUAAGGAGGCAAGGGCAUUUAUUUUAUAAAUAAUUUAAUAAAAAAGGUAAAAUUAAA